Molecule: ribosomal RNA, 372 nt
Filed under: uncultured organism
Description: bacterial SSU rRNA
Rfam family: Bacterial small subunit ribosomal RNA
Source: RNAcentral
CGUAGGGUGCGAGCGUUAAUCGGAAUUACUGGGCGUAAAGUGUGCGCAGGUGGCCGCGCAAGUCGAGUGUGAAAUCCCCGGGCUUAACUUGGGAAUUGCGCUCGAAACUACGUGGCUGGAGUGUGGCAGAGGGAGGUGGAAUUCCAAGUGUAGCGGUGAAAUGCGUAGAGAUGUGGAGGAACACCAAUGGCGAAGGCAGCCUCCUGGGCCAACACUGACACUCAUGCACGAAAGCGUGGGGAGCAAACAGGAUUAGAUACCCUGGUAGUCCACGCCCUAAACGAUGAUGACUAGUUGUUGGAGGAGUUAAAUCCUUUAGUAACGCAGCUAACGCGCGAAGUCAUCCGCCUGGGGAGUACGGUCGCAAGAUUA